UUGAUCAUGGCUCAGAAUCAACGCUGGCGGCGUGCCUAACACAUGCAAGUCGAACGCGAAAGUGGGCUUAGUGCCCUGAGUAGAGUGGCAAACGGGUGAGUAACACGUGGGUGACCUGCCUUCGAGUGGGGGAUAACGUUUCGAAAGGAACGCUAAUACCGCAUGACAUCCCGCUCUUGGAUGAGGGGUGAUUAAAGCCGGGGAUCGCAAGACCUGGCGCUUGAAGAGGGGCCCGCGUCUGAUUAGCUAGUUGGUGGGGUAACGGCCUACCAAGGCGACGAUCAGUAGCCGGCCUGAGAGGGCGGACGGCCACACUGGGACUGAGACACGGCCCAGACUCCUACGGGAGGCAGCAGUGGGGAAUUGUUCGCAAUGGGCGCAAGCCUGACGACGCAACGCCGCGUGGAGGAUGAAGAUCUUCGGGUCGUAAACUCCUGUCGAGCGGGACGAACAUCUUCCGGGGGAAUAUCCCGGAGGGCUGACGGUACCGCUAAAGGAAGCCCCGGCUAACUCCGUGCCAGCAGCCGCGGUAAUACGGGGGGGGCAAGCGUUGUUCGGAAUUACUGGGCGUAAAGGGCUCGUAGGCGGCGCGCUAAGUCAGACGUGAAAUCCCUCGGCUCAACCGAGGAACUGCGUCUGAGACUGGCGGGCUUGAAUCCGGNGAGAGGGAUGCAGAAUUCCAGGUGUAGCGGUGAAAUGCGUAGAUAUCUGGAGGAAUACCGGUGGCGAAGGCGGCAUCCUGGACC
Molecule: ribosomal RNA, 746 nt
Filed under: uncultured bacterium
Lineage: Bacteria
Description: bacterial SSU rRNA
Rfam family: Bacterial small subunit ribosomal RNA
Source: RNAcentral